AUUAUUUGUUUGGCCAUAUAUAUUUUUAAAUUACAUUACACGCAGUGCAUCCAGCCUUCAUUCAAUCAGGAUAAUACCAUACCAAAGAAAAACUAAAAACAUAGCAAGUAUCCUUUUCCCCCAAAUAUCUGUUUUCCCCAUUUUUUCAAACAAUUGAAGCACAGAGAAAGAGAAUUACUGGUGACAGGUACUGGCCACAAGAGGCACAAGGAAGGACACUCUGUGAACAGGACAAAGAUUUAACCUCAAGUGAAGUGGAAGCAGUCCAGAAGAAAAAGGCUGUCGGGAGCCAAUGCGAAUUCCACCUGUUCAUAAAAAGGGGAGAAUGGUGCUUAUCAAGGUUGGAACUGAUUUAAUAAUCAAGAAGAACCAAACCAAAUUCUUUGCCAUAUUCCCAGAAUAUUUUCAUUCAGCAUGGCAGCUGGUGGUAAAUGUGAGAAAAAAACAACAACAAAGGAAAGAAGGUCACCUGAAGGGUAAAACUUCUACCUGGUGUUAAAUUGGCAAUAAGGUUUUACAGCCUACACAGUAUUCAUGAUACACUUUUACAGUUGUUUACCCACAAUGUGGUACUAAAUCACACGUCACCUACAUUAAAGCGAAUGGACUGUUUUUACUUUUUCAUUGAUGAUUUUGGGUACUUAAACAGUAUUAGGUGUUAUGAAACGUAAUCACAGCCAUCACUUAUGGAAAUA
Molecule: long non-coding RNA, 695 nt
Organism: Spea bombifrons (plains spadefoot toad)
Lineage: Eukaryota; Metazoa; Chordata; Amphibia; Anura; Pelobatidae
Exons: 3
Source: RefSeq, a predicted model, not a curated record